GACGAACGCUGGCGGCGUGCCUAAUACAUGCAAGUAGAACGCUGAAGGAGGAGCUUGCUCUUCUGGAUGAGUUGCGAAAGGGUGAGUAACGCGUAGGUAACCUGCCUGGUAGCGGGGGAUAACUAUUGGAAACGAUAGCUAAUACCGCAUAACAGUAGAUGUUGCAUGACAUUUGCUUAAAAGGUGCAAUUGCACCACUACCAGAUGGACCUGCGUUGUAUUAGCUAGUUGGUGGGGUAACGGCUCACCAAGGCGACGAUACAUAGCCGACCUGAGAGGGUGAUCGGCCACACUGGGACUGAGACACGGCCCAGACUCCUACGGGAGGCAGCAGUAGGGAAUCUUCGGCAAUGGACGGAAGUCUGACCGAGCAACGCCGCGUGAGUGAAGAAGGUUUUCGGAUCGUAAAGCUCUGUUGUAAGAGAAGAACGAGUGUGAGAGUGGAAAGUUCACACUGUGACGGUAUCUUACCAGAAAGGGACGGCUAACUACGUG
Molecule: ribosomal RNA, 495 nt
Filed under: uncultured bacterium
Lineage: Bacteria
Description: partial 16S ribosomal RNA
Rfam family: Bacterial small subunit ribosomal RNA
Source: RNAcentral